GCGGUAAUAGUUCAACUGGAUAGAAUAAUCGGCUACGAACCGAUAGGUUGCGGGUUCAAGUCCUGCUUACCGUACCA
RNAcentral lists this transfer RNA (77 nucleotides) under Caudoviricetes sp. RNAcentral describes it as "tRNA-Arg". It matches the Rfam family "tRNA". From Rfam's summary of the family: Transfer RNA (tRNA) molecules are approximately 80 nucleotides in length. Their secondary structure includes four short double-helical elements and three loops (D, anti-codon, and T loops). Further hydrogen bonds mediate the characteristic L-shaped molecular structure. tRNAs have two regions of fundamental functional importance: the anti-codon, which is responsible for specific mRNA codon recognition, and the 3' end, to which the tRNAs corresponding amino acid is attached (by aminoacyl-tRNA synthetases). tRNAs cope with the degeneracy of the genetic code in two manners: having more than one tRNA (with a specific anti-codon) for a particular amino acid; and 'wobble' base-pairing, i.e. permitting non-standard base-pairing at the 3rd anti-codon position. Lineage: Duplodnaviria; Heunggongvirae; Uroviricota; Caudoviricetes. The record is from RNAcentral.